UACGUAGGGGGCGAGCGUUGUCCGGAUUUAUUGGGCGUAAAGCGCGGGCAGGCGGCCCGGUAAGUCGGCCGUGAAAGCGCCUGGCUCAACUCGGCGAGGACGGGCGAGACUGCAGGGCUGGAGCAAGGCAGAGGGCGGUGGAAUUCCGGGUGUAGUGGUGGAAUGCGUAGAGCUCCGGAGGAACACCAGUGGCGAAGGCGGCCGCCUGGGCCUUUGCUGACGCUGAGCCGCGAAAGCGUGGGGAGCGAGCCGG
RNAcentral lists this ribosomal RNA (253 nucleotides) under uncultured bacterium. RNAcentral describes it as "partial 16S ribosomal RNA". It matches the Rfam family "Bacterial small subunit ribosomal RNA", at positions 524 to 776 of the family's 1533-position model. The record is from RNAcentral.